GGGGAAUAUUGGGCAAUGGGGGAAACCCUGACCCAGCAACGCCGCGUGAAGGACGAAGGCCUUCGGGUUGUAAACUUCUUUGAUCAGGGACGAAAGCAAUGACGGUACCUGAAGAACAAGCCACGGCUAACUACGUGCCAGCAGCCGCGGUAAUACGUAGGUGGCGAGCGUUAUCCGGAUUUACUGGGUGUAAAGGGCGUGUAGGCGGGUUUGCAAGUCGGGUGUAAAAGAUUCGGGCUUAACCCGGAGAGGUCAUCCGAAACUGCAGAUCUUGAGUGCUGGAGAGGAUAGUGGAAUUCCUGGUGUAGCGGUAAAAUGCGUAGAGAUCAGGAGGAACACCAGUGGCGAAGGCGGCUAUCUGGACAGUAACUGACGCUGAGGCGCGAAAGCGUGGGGAGCAAACAG
This 405-nucleotide ribosomal RNA is filed under the name uncultured bacterium. RNAcentral's name for it is "bacterial SSU rRNA". It matches the Rfam family "Bacterial small subunit ribosomal RNA", at positions 356 to 775 of the family's 1533-position model. The record is from RNAcentral.